This 99-nucleotide transfer RNA is filed under the name Chitinophagaceae bacterium. RNAcentral describes it as "tRNA-OTHER". It matches the Rfam family "tRNA". Rfam says of the family: Transfer RNA (tRNA) molecules are approximately 80 nucleotides in length. Their secondary structure includes four short double-helical elements and three loops (D, anti-codon, and T loops). Lineage: Bacteria; Pseudomonadati; Bacteroidota; Chitinophagia; Chitinophagales; Chitinophagaceae. The record is from RNAcentral.
GGAUUGCAGAGCGGUCGAAUGCGGCGGUCUUGCCCGAAGGAUCCUUUGGAAAAACCGUUGACUGUCACAGGUCCGGGGGUUCGAAUCCCUCUCUCUCCG